This 253-nucleotide ribosomal RNA is filed under the name uncultured bacterium. Its description in RNAcentral is "partial 16S ribosomal RNA". It matches the Rfam family "Bacterial small subunit ribosomal RNA", at positions 524 to 776 of the family's 1533-position model. The record is from RNAcentral.
UACGUAGGUGGCAAGCGUUGUCCGGAAUUAUUGGGCGUAAAGCGCGCGCAGGCGGUCCUUUAAGUCUGAUGUGAAAGCCCACGGCUCAACCGUGGAGGGUCAUUGGAAACUGGGGGACUUGAGUACAGAAGAGAAGAGUGGAAUUCCACGUGUAGCGGUGAAAUGCGUAGAGAUGUGGAGGAACACCAGUGGCGAAGGCGACUCUUUGGUCUGUAACUGACGCUGGGGCGCGAAAGCGUGGGGAGCAAACAGG